AAUUGAUGUAUUAUCAAAGGCCCAAUUCAAGCCUGCUGUCUUUCCAGGGGCCCUAAGCCCCACCUUGCUUUCCUGCCUUCCUGGAUCCUGUCUGCUUAACAAUUCUUCUAUUGAUUUCUCAGGCUUCACCUGGAAUUUCACCUGGGUAAAGCUGGCAGGAUCAGAUGAACAUUUCAAACACAGAAAUAGCUCAUAUCUAGACGGGUGCCUUUGCUUGGCUUCUAGUCCUGCCUUGUACACCAGUGACAGAGCCAAGGUAACUGAGUCAUGGAAACUGCAUACUAAGUUGGGCAAAAGGAAAGUCGCUUCAGUCGUGUCCAACUCUGUGCGACCCCAUAGACAGCAGCCCACCAGGCUCCCCCAUCCCUGGGAUUCUCCAAGGAAGAACACUGGAGUGGGUUGCCAUUUCCUUCUCCAAUUCAUGAAAGUAAAAAGUGAAAGUGAAGUCGCUCAGUCGUGUCCGACUCUUCGAGACCCCAUGGACUACAACCUACCAGGCUCCUCCGUCCAUGGGAUUUUCCAGGCAAGAGUACUGG
Molecule: long non-coding RNA, 536 nt
Organism: Bos taurus (domestic cattle)
Lineage: Eukaryota; Metazoa; Chordata; Mammalia; Artiodactyla; Bovidae
Source: Ensembl